This 142-nucleotide microRNA precursor is filed under the name Glycine soja. RNAcentral describes it as "MIR1520 microRNA precursor family". It matches the Rfam family "MIR1520 microRNA precursor family". The record is from Rfam by way of RNAcentral. Lineage: Eukaryota; Viridiplantae; Streptophyta; Magnoliopsida; Fabales; Fabaceae.
UUUUUAUUGAACAUUAACUUUCACGUGUCACGAUUUUAUUGGAGGUUAAUGUUAAUUAGGUGUAUGAAAUUAACUUCUAAUAAACAUGCGACUAGUGACAAUUAACGUCCAAUAAAAAUGCGACAUGUGAUAGUCAACGUUG